This 69-nucleotide transfer RNA is filed under the name Ernodes articularis. RNAcentral's name for it is "tRNA-Phe". The record is from RNAcentral. Lineage: Eukaryota; Metazoa; Arthropoda; Insecta; Trichoptera; Beraeidae.
ACUUAAAUAACUUAAAUUAAAAGAGUAUUAUAUUGAAGAUAUAAAAGUGAUAUAAAUUAUCUUUAAGUA